UUAAGCGACUAAGCGUACACGGUGGAUGCCCUGGCAGAGGAUGAAGGACGUGCUAAUCUGCGAUAAGCGUCGGUAAGGUGAUAUGAACCGUUAUAACCGGCGAUUUCCGAAUGGGGAAACCCAGUGUGUUUCGACACACUAUCAUUAACUGAAUCCAUAGGUUAAUGAGGCGAACCGGGGGAACUGAAACAUCUAAGUACCCCGAGGAAAAGAAAUCAACCGAGAUUCCCCCAGUAGCGGCGAGCGAACGGGGAGCAGCCCAGAGCCUGAAUCAGUGUGUGUGUUAGUGGAAGCGUCUGGAAAGGCGCGCGAUACAGGGUGACAGCCCCGUACACAAAAAUGCACAUACUGUGAGCUCGAUGAGUAGGGCGGGACACGUGGUAUCCUGUCUGAAUAUGGGGGGACCAUCCUCCAAGGCUAAAUACUCCUGACUGACCGAUAGUGAACCAGUACCGUGAGGGAAAGGCGAAAAGAACCCCGGCGAGGGGAGUGAAAAAGAACCUGAAACCGUGUACGUACAAGCAGUGGGAGCACGCUUCGGCGUGUGACUGCGUACCUUUUGUAUAAUGGGUCAGCGACUUAUAUUCUGUAGCAAGGUUAACCGAAUAGGGGAGCCGAAGGGAAACCGAGUCUUAACUGGGCGUUAAGUUGCAGGGUAUAGACCCGAAACCCGGUGAUCUAGCCAUGGGCAGGUUGAAGGUUGGGUAACACUAACUGGAGGACCGAACCGACUAAUGUUGAAAAAGCGGAAUUGUGGCUGGGGGUGAAAGGCCAAUCAAACCGGGAGAUAGCUGGUUCUCCCCGAAAGCUAUUUAGGUAGCGCCUCGUGAAUUCAUCUCCGGGGGUAGAGCACUGUUUCGGCAAGGGGGUCAUCCCGACUUACCAACCCGAUGCAAACUGCGAAUACCGGAGAAUGUUAUCACGGGAGACACACGGCGGGUGCUAACGUCCGUCGUGAAGAGGGAAACAACCCAGACCGCCAGCUAAGGUCCCAAAGUCAUGGUUAAGUGGGAAACGAUGUGGGAAGGCCCAGACAGCCAGGAUGUUGGCUUAGAAGCAGCCAUCAUUUAAAGAAAGCGUAAUAGCUCACUGGUCGAGUCGGCCUGCGCGGAAGAUGUAACGGGGCUAAACCAUGCACCGAAGCUGCGGCAGCGACACUAUGUGUUGUUGGGUAGGGGAGCGUUCUGUAAGCCUGUGAAGGUGUGCUGUGAGGCAUGCUGGAGGUAUCAGAAGUGCGAAUGCUGACAUAAGUAACGAUAAAGCGGGUGAAAAGCCCGCUCGCCGGAAGACCAAGGGUUCCUGUCCAACGUUAAUCGGGGCAGGGUGAGUCGACCCCUAAGGCGAGGCCGAAAGGCGUAGUCGAUGGGAAACAGGUUAAUAUUCCUGUACUUGGUGUUACUGCGAAGGGGGGACGGAGAAGGCUAUGUUGGCCGGGCGACGGUUGUCCCGGUUUAAGCGUGUAGGCUGGUUUUCCAGGCAAAUCCGGAAAAUCAAGGCUGAGGCGUGAUGACGAGGCACUACGGUGCUGAAGCAACAAAUGCCCUGCUUCCAGGAAAAGCCUCUAAGCAUCAGGUAACAUUAAAUCGUACCCCAAACCGACACAGGUGGUCAGGUAGAGAAUACCAAGGCGCUUGAGAGAACUCGGGUGAAGGAACUAGGCAAAAUGGUGCCGUAACUUCGGGAGAAGGCACGCUGAUAUGUAGGUGAAGUCCCUCGCGGAUGGAGCUGAAAUCAGUCGAAGAUACCAGCUGGCUGCAACUGUUUAUUAAAAACACAGCACUGUGCAAACACGAAAGUGGACGUAUACGGUGUGACGCCUGCCCGGUGCCGGAAGGUUAAUUGAUGGGGUUAGCGGUAACGCGAAGCUCUUGAUCGAAGCCCCGGUAAACGGCGGCCGUAACUAUAACGGUCCUAAGGUAGCGAAAUUCCUUGUCGGGUAAGUUCCGACCUGCACGAAUGGCGUAAUGAUGGCCAGGCUGUCUCCACCCGAGACUCAGUGAAAUUGAACUCGCUGUGAAGAUGCAGUGUACCCGCGGCAAGACGGAAAGACCCCGUGAACCUUUACUAUAGCUUGACACUGAACAUUGAGCCUUGAUGUGUAGGAUAGGUGGGAGGCUUUGAAGUGUGGACGCCAGUCUGCAUGGAGCCGACCUUGAAAUACCACCCUUUAAUGUUUGAUGUUCUAACGUUGACCCGUAAUCCGGGUUGCGGACAGUGUCUGGUGGGUAGUUUGACUGGGGCGGUCUCCUCCUAAAGAGUAACGGAGGAGCACGAAGGUUGGCUAAUCCUGGUCGGACAUCAGGAGGUUAGUGCAAUGGCAUAAGCCAGCUUGACUGCGAGCGUGACGGCGCGAGCAGGUGCGAAAGCAGGUCAUAGUGAUCCGGUGGUUCUGAAUGGAAGGGCCAUCGCUCAACGGAUAAAAGGUACUCCGGGGAUAACAGGCUGAUACCGCCCAAGAGUUCAUAUCGACGGCGGUGUUUGGCACCUCGAUGUCGGCUCAUCACAUCCUGGGGCUGAAGUAGGUCCCAAGGGUAUGGCUGUUCGCCAUUUAAAGUGGUACGCGAGCUGGGUUUAGAACGUCGUGAGACAGUUCGGUCCCUAUCUGCCGUGGGCGCUGGAGAACUGAGGGGGGCUGCUCCUAGUACGAGAGGACCGGAGUGGACGCAUCACUGGUGUUCGGGUUGUCAUGCCAAUGGCACUGCCCGGUAGCUAAAUGCGGAAGAGAUAAGUGCUGAAAGCAUCUAAGCACGAAACUUGCCCCGAGAUGAGUUCUCCCUGACUCCUUGAGAGUCCUGAAGGAACGUUGAAGACGACGACGUUGAUAGGCCGGGUGUGUAAGCGCAGCGAUGCGUUGAGCUAACCGGUACUAAUGAACCGUGAGGCUUAACCUU
This 2891-nucleotide ribosomal RNA is filed under the name Escherichia coli. RNAcentral's name for it is "bacterial LSU rRNA". It matches the Rfam family "Bacterial large subunit ribosomal RNA". Lineage: Bacteria; Pseudomonadati; Pseudomonadota; Gammaproteobacteria; Enterobacterales; Enterobacteriaceae. The record is from RNAcentral.